RNAcentral lists this ribosomal RNA (694 nucleotides) under uncultured Bacteroides sp. RNAcentral's name for it is "bacterial SSU rRNA". It matches the Rfam family "Bacterial small subunit ribosomal RNA", at positions 32 to 715 of the family's 1533-position model. Lineage: Bacteria; Pseudomonadati; Bacteroidota; Bacteroidia; Bacteroidales; Bacteroidaceae. The record is from RNAcentral.
AACGCUAGCUACAGGCUUAACACAUGCAAGUCGAGGGGCAGCAUGAGCUUAGCUUGCUAAGCUUGAUGGCGACCGGCGCACGGGUGAGUAACACGUAUCCAACCUCCCGCUUACUCAGGAAUAGCCUUUCGAAAGAAAGAUUAAUGCCUGAUGGUAUGUUAAGCACACAUGUAAUUAAGAUUAAAGAUUUAUCGGUAAGCGAUGGGGAUGCGUUCCAUUAGGUAGUAGGCGGGGUAACGGCCCACCUAGCCGACGAUGGAUAGGGGUUCUGAGAGGAAGGUCCCCCACAUUGGAACUGAGACACGGUCCAAACUCCUACGGGAGGCAGCAGUGAGGAAUAUUGGUCAAUGGGCGCGAGCCUGAACCAGCCAAGUAGCGUGAAGGAUGAAGGUCCUACGGAUUGUAAACUUCUUUUAUAAGGGAAUAAAGUCGUCCACGUGUGGGCGUUUGCAUGUACCUUAUGAAUAAGGAUCGGCUAACUCCGUGCCAGCGGCCGCGGUAAUACGGAGGAUCCGAGCGUUAUCCGGAUUUAUUGGGUUUAAAGGGUGCGUAGGCCGGCGUGUAAGUCAGCGGUGAAAAGUUGGUGCUCAACAUUGACCCUGCCGUUGAUACUGCAUGCCUUGAGUGCGGAUAAGGAAGGCGGAACUCGUGGUGUAGCGGUGAAAUGCUUAGAUAUCACGAAGAACUCCGAUUG